This 72-nucleotide transfer RNA is filed under the name Araneus ventricosus. It matches the Rfam family "tRNA". From Rfam's summary of the family: Transfer RNA (tRNA) molecules are approximately 80 nucleotides in length. Lineage: Eukaryota; Metazoa; Arthropoda; Arachnida; Araneae; Araneidae. The record is from Rfam by way of RNAcentral.
UACCAUGUGGUCUAGCGGUCAGGAUUCCUGGCUUUCACCCAGGCGGCCCGGGUUCGACUCCCGGUAUAGAAA